AUUGAACGCUGGCGGCAGGCCUAACACAUGCAAGUCGAGCGAGCGGCGGACGGGUGAGUAAUGUAUGGGGACUGCCCGAUAGAGGGGGAUAACUACUGGAAACGGUAGCUAAUACCGCAUACUAUCGGAUAACCCAUAUGGGAUUAGCUAGUAGGUGAGGUAAUGGCUCACCUAGGCGACGAUCCCUAGCUGGUCUGAGAGGAUGAUCAGAAAGACUGGGACUGGGACAAGGACAAGACUCCGACGGAGGCAGCAGUGGGGAAGAGUGCACAAGGGGCGCAAGCCUGAUGCAGCCAUGCCGCGUGGAUGAAGAAGGCCCUAGGGUGGUAAAGUACUUUCAGUCGGGAGGCGUUACCGACAGAAGAAGCACCGGCUAACUCCGUGCCAGCAGCCGCGGUAAUUC
Molecule: ribosomal RNA, 403 nt
Filed under: uncultured bacterium
Lineage: Bacteria
Description: partial 16S ribosomal RNA
Rfam family: Bacterial small subunit ribosomal RNA
Source: RNAcentral